Molecule: long non-coding RNA, 682 nt
Filed under: Olea europaea (common olive)
Lineage: Eukaryota; Viridiplantae; Streptophyta; Magnoliopsida; Lamiales; Oleaceae
Description: long non-coding RNA (OEUR_LNC008117)
Source: RNAcentral
UUGGUUUGACUAUAUUUGGACCAUUACAUUAGUUAUAUAUUUAGUUCUAGGUUGUUUCUAGUUUAACUUUUAAGAUUUCUAGCUAGCAAGUUAAAUAUAUCAAAUUAAUGGUCAAUUAUAAUUGUUAUUCCAAGUCCAUCAGGUUAUUUAGUGUAUGCACAUGUUCACGCAUUUUGUUACUCGAUCCGCAUUCGUUCAUAUAGUUGUGCUCGUAGAUCUGAUAGUACAUAUGCGAAAGUUUCGAAUAUUUGAGUGGUUCUCUAAAAGAAAACACUUUUGAAGUGGAAGAAAGGAUUGUGUGAGAGAUUGGUGCUUAACAAAACUGUCAAUAAUGUUGAUGUGAAUCUCAAAUUUUUGAGAAGAAGAAGCACGCUAUGUGUGAGUCUUCCUCCGAUUGAUAGCUCUUCUUUUGCAUCAACAAGUUCCUUUCUACAUUUGUGAUUGUUGCACAGAAUCUCCACCAUGUUGGGGGACCAAGCAGGGAAUAGCUAGUAGCACGUUGAAGUUGAUUUUAGCUCUCAGAUGACAAGACAAUUGUAAAAUCAUGCCUGAUCGUGGUUUAGUGGAUUUAUCACUAGAAUAAUUCGAAUUAAAAUUAUUAUAACCGAUAUAUUGAAAUUAUUUAAACUUUUGAAAUAGUUUAUUAUAAUCUAUAAUAUUAAUUUCAAAAUGUCUUGUGCUC